GACGAACGCUGGCGGCGUGCUUAACACAUGCAAGUCGAACGGAAAGGCCCUGCUUUUGUGGGGUGCCCGAGUGGCGAACGGGUGAGUAACACGUGAGUAACCUGCCCUUGACUUUGGGAUAACUUCAGGAAACUGGGGCUAAUACCGGAUAGGAGCUCCUGCUGCAUGGUGGGGGUUGGAAAGUUUCGGCGGUUGGGGAUGGACUCGCGGCUUAUCAGCUUGUUGGUGGGGUAGUGGCUUACCAAGGCUUUGACGGGUAGCCGGCCUGAGAGGGUGACCGGCCACAUUGGGACUGAGAUACGGCCCAGACUCCUACGGGAGGCAGCAGUGGGGAAUAUUGCACAAUGGGCGGAAGCCUGAUGCAGCAACGCCGCGUGCGGGAUGACGGCCUUCGGGUUGUAAACCGCUUUCGCCUGUGACGAAGCGUGAGUGACGGUAAUGGGUAAAGAAGCACCGGCUAACUACGUGCCAGCAGCCGCGGUGAUACGUAGGGUGCGAGCGUUGUCCGGAUUUAUUGGGCGUAAAGGGCUCGUAGGUGGUUGAUCGCGUCGGAAGUGUAAUCUUGGGGCUUAACCCUGAGCGUGCUUUCGAUACGGGUUGACUUGAGGAAGGUAGGGGAGAAUGGAAUUCCUGGUGGAGCGGUGGAAUGCGCAGAUAUCAGGAGGAACACCAGUGGCGAAGGCGGUUCUCUGGGCCUUUCCUGACGCUGAGGAGCGAAAGCGUGGGGAGCGAACAGGCUUAGAUACCCUGGUAGUCCACGCUGUAAACGGUGGGUACUAGGUGUGGGGUCCAUUCCACGGGUUCCGUGCCGUAGCUAACGCUUUAAGUACCCCGCCUGGGGAGUACGGCCGCAAGGCUAAAACUCAAAGGAAUUGACGGGGCCCCGCACAAGCGGCGGAGCAUGCGGAUUAAUUCGAUGCAACGCGUAGAACCUUACCUGGGUUUGACAUGGAUCGGGAGUGCUCAGAGAUGGGUGUGCCUCUUUUGGGGUCGGUUCACAGGUGGUGCAUGCCUGUCGUCAGCUCGUGUCGUGAGAUGUUGGGUUAAGUCCCGCAACGAGCGCAACCCUUGUUCACUGUUGCCAGCACGUUAUGGUGGGGACUCAGUGGAGACCGCCGGGGUCAACUCGGAGGAAGGUGGGGAUGACGUCAAGUCAUCAUGCCCCUUAUGUCCAGGGCUUCACGCAUGCUACAAUGGCUGGUACAGAGAGUGGCGAGCCUGUGAGGGUGAGCGAAUCUCGGAAAGCCGGUCUCAGUUCGGAUUGGGGUCUGCAACUCGACCUCAUGAAGUCGGAGUCGCUAGUAAUCGCAGAUCAGCAACGCUGCGGUGAAUACGUUCCCGGG
This 1343-nucleotide ribosomal RNA is filed under the name uncultured bacterium. RNAcentral describes it as "16S ribosomal RNA". It matches the Rfam family "Bacterial small subunit ribosomal RNA", at positions 28 to 1378 of the family's 1533-position model. The record is from RNAcentral.